AAUUUUCCCAACAUGGACUUUUAUUAUUUUUGUCUCUAGUAUUUAUUUAUGCCUUAUUUCAUAUCAUUAGAACAAUUUUCCAUUGACUUAUGAGGUCUUGAACCUAGUGGCUAAUGAAGUCUAUGUUUGUCAUGAUGUUGGAUUGUUUAGGGUUGCUUGAAUUUUUCUUGUUUCAAACCUACUAAUGAAUAAUCAAGUGUUCAUUCAUGAUACUUUGAAGCAUGGAUAAAUUGCCACUACAUC
RNAcentral lists this long non-coding RNA (243 nucleotides) under Lathyrus oleraceus (garden pea). RNAcentral's name for it is "Pisum sativum (pea) long non-coding RNA (PSAT_LNC029046)". The record is from RNAcentral. Lineage: Eukaryota; Viridiplantae; Streptophyta; Magnoliopsida; Fabales; Fabaceae.